This 461-nucleotide ribosomal RNA is filed under the name bacterium MB2015. Its description in RNAcentral is "bacterial SSU rRNA". It matches the Rfam family "Bacterial small subunit ribosomal RNA", at positions 28 to 473 of the family's 1533-position model. The record is from RNAcentral.
GAUGAACGCUGGCGGCGUGCCUAACACAUGCAAGUCGAACGGAGAUUAGACGCUGAUGAGGCUUCGGCGGAAUCUUGUUUAAUCUUAGUGGCGGACGGGUGAGUAACGCGUGGGCAACCUGCCUCAUACUGGGGGAUAACAGUUGGAAACGACUGUUAAUACCGCAUAAGCGCACAGUGUCGCAUGACACAGUGUGAAAAACUCCGGUGGUAUGAGAUGGGCCCGCGUCAGAUUAGCCAGUUGGCGGGGUAACGGCCCACCAAAGCGACGAUCUGUAGCCGGCCUGAGAGGGCGGACGGCCACAUUGGGACUGAGACACGGCCCAAACUCCUACGGGAGGCAGCAGUGGGGGAUAUUGCACAAUGGAGGAAACUCUGAUGCAGCGACGCCGCGUGAGUGAAGAAGUAUCUCGGUAUGUAAAGCUCUAUCAGCAGGGAAGAAAGGCUCGAAAGAGAGAUGAC